GUAUAUGUGAUGUUCACUUAGUUGAAUAUGUUAGUUGAAACUGGAGAUGGGUAACCCUAGUUCCUUCACUCUCUUGUUAUUAUUGUUGUUGGUUUUAGCUGCUUCUUUAUAUGCCAUUCAUGGAAUAUGGCUACAUGGAGAUAAGAGAGGAAGGGUUCUUGGUGAGAGGGUGGGGAAUUGUCCUCCGACUCCGGCAUCGUCGCGCCAUUAUUUUCCACCUAGAACACCAUAUCCAAGCUAGGGUUUUUAGCUUGCAUGGAGCAAUUGAAGUGAAUGUUUAAUUAGAAUGCUUAAUUUAAAUCUCUUCAAUUUGCUAUUAUAUGUAUAGCUUUACAAUAAACUUGCUUUUGGUUUGUAAUACUUUUGGAUAUGUUAAUUAUCUGUGAGUUAUAUACUCUAAUAUGUAUCAUUUGUAAAUGCAUUUUCAUAAUAAUUAAUUGAUAUAUCCUCA
Long non-coding RNA from Ananas comosus (pineapple), 451 nucleotides. RefSeq lists it as uncharacterized. Lineage: Eukaryota; Viridiplantae; Streptophyta; Magnoliopsida; Poales; Bromeliaceae. The record is from RefSeq and is a predicted model, not a curated record. The transcript is spliced from 2 exons.